RNAcentral lists this ribosomal RNA (115 nucleotides) under Danio rerio (zebrafish). Lineage: Eukaryota; Metazoa; Chordata; Actinopteri; Cypriniformes; Danionidae. The record is from RNAcentral.
UCGGAGCCAUAUCACUCUGCAGCCAAAGAGUGGUUACUCACUGUAGCUAUGCAGGGCUGAGCCUGGUCAGGACCUGUAUGGGAGACCACGUGGGAAAACUAAGUUGCUGUUGGAA